RNAcentral lists this ribosomal RNA (253 nucleotides) under uncultured bacterium. Its description in RNAcentral is "partial 16S ribosomal RNA". It matches the Rfam family "Bacterial small subunit ribosomal RNA", at positions 524 to 776 of the family's 1533-position model. The record is from RNAcentral.
UACAGAGGGUGCGAGCGUUAAUCGGAAUUACUGGGCGUAAAGCACACGUAGGCGGCUUGGUAUGUCGGGUGUGAAAUCCCCGGGCUCAACCUGGGAACUGCAUCCGAAACUGCCUUGCUAGAGUAUGGGAGAGGGAAGUGGAAUUUCCGGUGUAGCGGUGAAAUGCGUAGAUAUCGGGAGGAACAUCAGUGGCGAAGGCGACUUCCUGGACCAAGACUGACGCUCAGGUGCGAAAGCGUGGGGAGCAAACAGG